Molecule: ribosomal RNA, 406 nt
Filed under: uncultured bacterium
Lineage: Bacteria
Description: partial 16S ribosomal RNA
Rfam family: Bacterial small subunit ribosomal RNA
Source: RNAcentral
AUUGAACGCUGGCGGCAGGCCUAACACAUGCAAGUCGAACGAGUGGCGGACUGGUUAGUAAUGUCUGGGAAACUGUCUGAUGGAGGGGGAUACCUACUGGAAACGGUAGCUAAUACCGCAUACCCUCAGAUGUGCCCAGAUGGGAUUAGCUUGUUGGUGGGGUAAAGGCUCACAAAGGCGACGCUCCCUAGCUGGUCUGAGAGGGUGACCGGCCACACUGGAACUGAGACACGGUCCAGACUCCUACGGGAGGCAGCAGUGGGGAAUAUUGCACAAUGGGCGCAAGCCUGAUGCAGCCAUGCCGCGUGUAUGAAGAAGGCCUUCGGGUUGUAAAGUACUUUCAGCGGGGAGGCGUUACCCGCAGAAGAAGCACCGGCUAACUCCGUGCCAGCAGCCGCGGUAAUUC